UAUUUGCUUAUUAAAAAACAAUUGCCGUCUGGGCUAGAGAGAACUACUGUAUGGGCGCCACCGUAUUGUGCCGCCAAUAGUGAUUUUCGGCACAAUUUUAAAUUUGAAUUUUGAACCAUCAUUUUUAGCAGGAAUCUUAUAGCUAAAAUUUAAACUUGUUCAGCCCACUGUACACACCCACUUAAUUUUUGUUUGGCUAGUUCCUCGAGUCAUUCCCAGCACCGUAUCUGAAACUUUGCCGAUCAUUUGCUUAUAUAGCCUUUCUCACCUUCUCCCUGCUUUGGGACAUGCCGUUGCCUGUAAUUAUUCUCCCUGCAGCCGUGACAAAAACUGCUAUGCCCUGCAAGCUAUCAGAGUAGCCCGUUUCUAAGACCCUACCUUAUGCGAGCAAUUUCAGCCAUGCUCAGGAUUAAGUUUCCCUAGCAUCCCAGCACGUCCCCAGGCUCGGUAGAGCACAUUUCACACUGCCCUUUCAUAUCUCCACCCCCCUCUCCCCACCCCUCUCAAGCCUUUCCUGGUAACACUGCCCAGAGCACUGACCGGUCCUUAACCCUGGCCAGAGACGACCUGUCCCAAGGUCUGGACAGGAGUGUUCGAAUGUACCGCCUCUGACCUCUAGCGGCAGAGUUAACAACUACUCCGAGUCUCCACUAAACGUCACUGCCCUCUAGCGACUCCUGAAGUCAACAUUCUCCUGUCUUUCUCUUCCAAACCACCAAAGUGCUCCACCAGUCACCGCUAUAAGCCCCAUGCUUUCAAAGUAGCCUCAUACGAGAUGCACGAAUAGACUUUUAUCUGUUUCGGCCACUCCCCAGUAGAUUGUGUUACGAUCGGGCACUAACACCAACGUCAAGAUAUUGAAGUCAGUAAUUCUCAAUCCUUCCUUCUGACAUCUUCGGAACUUUUUGGCCCUGUAGACGAAGUAUCAUCCUCCUUCUUUCAAGGCUAAGCGCUGAUUUAAUUAAGCAUCAAAGCUGCCAUACAUGGGACUUAUCGGCACGACUUCUCACUGACAGCUUCGUUUCUCAGCCAGCCCUCAGCACUAUUUAACUUUGCUGCUACUGCAAGGAUGUAGUUGCCUCAUCUAGUAAUGCCUUCUCUAAGUUUUUAGAUAGCCAUCAGUUAAGCUGUGCUGUAGUGUAUAGAAUUUUAUCAUUUGCUAAUUUUUUUUUUUGUUUAAAUUUAAAAUUAUGAUGCUUCCGCGUCUACCACGCCAGUUUCGGUCUGGAUUUCGCGGGCACCUCGGCGAGACCUCCUGAAGCCACACCGCAACACCCUGUUUUGACAGGGUCAAAGUAUGGUCGGAGUACUGUCGAAGAACUGUCCACGAAUCCAAGAAUUGGUAGCCUGUCUCCAUCAGAAUUUAUCAUUCCCGACAAUACUAACUCCAAAUUUUCCGCAACACCCACAGCGGGCCAGUUUGCCACGGGAUGCCAGCAGUUUAUGAAAUAUGUUCUAGCUGAAGUUGUUUAUGAUUAAAGGACUAUAAUUCUGGUAUUAUCGAGAAAUAGACUUACUAACUGUAAGCAACACAGGAAAGCAAUGGUUAUUGUUUUAAUAUUUUGAAUGGCUUUGUAUUUUAUAUUAUAGUUCUAAAUGUUUAUGGGCCGGCCCCCCGAUUAUAACAUUUUCACUGAUUCAGUUAUGAACCCAUAUUAUAAAUUGUAAUGUAUUAUAAAUUUUAAGUAAUUAACUUCUUUAUCAAACCAAAUUAUUACUACCAAAAUGUUUGUUUUCUCUUGUUGCAAUUUACGAUUAAAGAAAAAUAAAUAGACGCACAGGUAUAGAC
Molecule: long non-coding RNA, 1789 nt
Organism: Bacillus rossius redtenbacheri
Lineage: Eukaryota; Metazoa; Arthropoda; Insecta; Phasmatodea; Bacillidae
Exons: 2
Source: RefSeq, a predicted model, not a curated record